Molecule: ribosomal RNA, 506 nt
Filed under: uncultured bacterium
Lineage: Bacteria
Description: partial 16S ribosomal RNA
Rfam family: Bacterial small subunit ribosomal RNA
Source: RNAcentral
AUUGAACGCUGGCGGCAGGCCUAACACAUGCAAGUCGAGCGGUAGCACAGAAGAGCUUGCUCUUUGGGUGACGAGCGGCGGACGGGUGAGUAAUGUCUGGGAAACUGCCUGAUGGAGGGGGAUAACUACUGGAAACGGUAGCUAAUACCGCAUAACCUCGCAAGAGCAAAGAGGGGGACCUUCGGGCCUCUCGCCAUCAGAUGUGCCCAGAUGGGAUUAGCUAGUAGGUGAGGUAAUGGCUCACCUAGGCGACGAUCCCUAGCUGGUCUGAGAGGAUGACCAGCCACACUGGAACUGAGACACGGUCCAGACUCCUACGGGAGGCAGCAGUGGGGAAUAUUGCACAAUGGGCGCAAGCCUGAUGCAGCCAUGCCGCGUGUGUGGAGAAGGCCUUCGGGUUGUAAAGCACUUUCAGCGGGGAGGAAGGCGGUAAGGUUAAUAACCUUAUCGAUUGACGUUACCCGCAGAAGAAGCACCGGCUAACUCCGUGCCAGCAGCCGCCGUAA